Molecule: long non-coding RNA, 274 nt
Filed under: Malus domestica (apple)
Lineage: Eukaryota; Viridiplantae; Streptophyta; Magnoliopsida; Rosales; Rosaceae
Description: long non-coding RNA (MDOM_LNC000813)
Source: RNAcentral
AUGAAGGUACGAAAAAUAACGAAAUCAAACAUUUUAAAUUGAUCAAUUGACAAAGUUCUCAAUUUCAAUCUAUACCAAAAUAACAAACAACAUAAAAUUCAUCAACUUUCUUUCAAUCUCCCUACAUUUCUCAGCAACCAAACAAAGAGUAAUUGCAAAACAUUGAAAACACAGAGAAGAACAAAGACCAAACCUGUAAAUGUCGAAGCUGAGUUCUCUGUAAAACAGCUGAGGAAAUUCCUCCCUCAGAGUCCGAAUCGCAUACCCCAUAUUC